This 460-nucleotide ribosomal RNA is filed under the name uncultured bacterium. Its description in RNAcentral is "partial 16S ribosomal RNA". It matches the Rfam family "Bacterial small subunit ribosomal RNA", at positions 338 to 795 of the family's 1533-position model. The record is from RNAcentral.
CCUACGGGAGGCAGCAGUGAGGAAUAUUGGUCAAUGGACGAGAGUCUGAACCAGCCAAGUAGCGUGAAGGAUGACUGCCCUCUGGGUUGUAAACUUCUUUUAUAAAGGAAUAAAACGAGGCACGUGUGCCUUUUUGCAUGUCCUUUAUGAAUAAGGAUCGGCUAACUCCGUGCCAGCAGCCGCGGUAAUACGGAGGGUCCGAGCGUUAUCCGGAUUUAUUGGGCUUAAAGGGAGCGUAGAUGGAUAGGUAAUUUAGCGGUGAAAGGUUGCGGCUCAACCGCGGAAUUGCAAUUAUGACUAGGUAUAUAGAGUAAUGGAGAGGAUAGCGGAAUACCCAGUGUAGCUGUCAAAGUCGUAGAUAUUGGGUAGAACCCCGGUGGCGAAGGCGGCUAUCUGGCCAUUUACUGACGCUGAGACUCGAAAGCAUGGGGAUUAAACCGGAGUAGAUACCCGAGUAGGC